CCAUCUUAGCAGCCAAUAAAAAUGACAGAUGGCAACAGGGUGCCUUUAGGGGGCUGUAGCCCUGCCCCCGAACAUGAAUCUGCAGAUUCUACAGCA
Molecule: small nucleolar RNA, 96 nt
Filed under: Sorex araneus (European shrew)
Lineage: Eukaryota; Metazoa; Chordata; Mammalia; Eulipotyphla; Soricidae
Description: Small nucleolar RNA SNORA68 (ENSSARG00000018706.1)
Source: RNAcentral